CUGGGCUGGGUCCUCUGAAAGAAAUCCCGUAAAACCUCAAGGAGCUCACAGGCUGGAAUAUUCUUUCACAGGCAAGCAAGGACCCAGGGCUGUGCUCAAGCUGGGCUACAAGGGCUGGACCAGGGUCUGGGGUUGGGCAUAGGUUGGGCUGACUUGCAGUUGCUGGCCUUGGAGAAAGGAGAAGCAAAGCCACUGUGAUUGGAGGAAGGAGAUUCAGGAAGCAAGGACAGCUCUUAGUGUCAGUUCCAAUGGUUGGGUAUGAGAAAGAGGGAGUAAAAACUGGGGCUUCAAGAAGGCAGGGACUAUAGUUGUAUUUCCUCCCAGUGUAUUCACAGUGCAUCUGGUUCACCAAAGACUCUCAAGGUGACUUCAUCCAUGGCGGCUGUGUGGCAGCGAGCUACUUGCGCAUCUCUUCUGUUCCGUGAGGUCAUGUUGGCAGCUUGAAAUUGAUCAAGUGGGAAGCAUUUACAUCACAGAAAUUGAGCCAGGAUGAGAACCCAGAUUUCCGGAUUCCAAGUCCAACAUCUUUUCAACCAUCUCAUGGUCAUCCAGAAGUGCAACCAGGAAAAAGUCUGUAGGGAGAUCAUGCCUGUAAUACUCUUGCUGGUUAAAAAGAGUAUUAUGGAUUUUCUGACAGCUCUUUUGCUGUGUCACAUCAGCCCCCUGUCUGAUUUUAUGCUU
This 681-nucleotide long non-coding RNA is filed under the name Homo sapiens (human). Its description in RNAcentral is "HSALNT0292712". Lineage: Eukaryota; Metazoa; Chordata; Mammalia; Primates; Hominidae. The record is from RNAcentral.